This 253-nucleotide ribosomal RNA is filed under the name uncultured bacterium. RNAcentral describes it as "partial 16S ribosomal RNA". It matches the Rfam family "Bacterial small subunit ribosomal RNA", at positions 524 to 776 of the family's 1533-position model. The record is from RNAcentral.
UACGAAGGGGGCUAGCGUUGUUCGGAAUCACUGGGCGUAAAGCGCACGUAGGCGGAUCUUUAAGUCAGGGGUGAAAUCCCGAGGCUCAACCUCGGAACCGCCUUUGAUACUGGGGAUCUCGAGUCCGGGAGAGGUGAGUGGAACUGCGAGUGUAGAGGUGAAAUUCGUAGAUAUUCGCAAGAACACCAGUGGCGAAGGCGGCUCACUGGCCCGGAACUGACGCUGAGGUGCGAAAGCGUGGGGAGCAAACAGG